This 409-nucleotide ribosomal RNA is filed under the name Fusobacteriota bacterium. RNAcentral's name for it is "Fusobacteria bacterium partial 16S ribosomal RNA". It matches the Rfam family "Bacterial small subunit ribosomal RNA", at positions 355 to 776 of the family's 1533-position model. Lineage: Bacteria; Fusobacteriati; Fusobacteriota. The record is from RNAcentral.
UGGGGAAUAUUGCACAAUGGAGGGAACUCUGAUGCAGCAACGCCGCGUGCGGGAUGACGGCCUUCGGGCUGUAAACCGCUUUCAGCCAUGACGAAGCUUUUGUGACGGUAGUGGUAGAAGAAGCACCGGCUAACUACGUGCCAGCAGCCGCGGUGAUACGUAGGGUGCGAGCGUUGUCCGGAAUUAUUGGGCGUAAAGAGCUUGUAGGCGGUUUGUCGCGUCGAAAGUGUAAACUCAGUGCUUAACGCUGAGCCUGCUUUCGAUACGGGCUGACUAGAGGAGGGUAGGGGAGAGUGGAAUUCCCGGUGGAGCGGUGGAAUGCGCAGAUAUCGGGAGGAACACCAGUGGCGAAGGCGGUUCUCUGGACCUUUCCUGACGCUGAGAAGCGAAAGCGUGGGUAGCAAACAGG